CCGCAGAGGGGGCCCAGGCAGCACACAGCUUCUCCUCUUCUCUUCUUUCUUCUAAUAACUCUUGCGAGACCCGGUUACCAUGGCAACGCUCCGCGGGUUUCACAAGAGUUAUUAGAAGAGAGGAGAAGAGAAGAGGAGAAGCAGUGUGCUGCCUGGGCCCCCUCUGCG
Molecule: microRNA precursor, 168 nt
Filed under: Pelobates cultripes (western spadefoot toad)
Lineage: Eukaryota; Metazoa; Chordata; Amphibia; Anura; Pelobatidae
Source: RNAcentral